UUAUGUCAAUGGCUAUUGGAUUGGUCCAUGAAGCGAAAAAUAGUUUACUGUGUCACUCGUACCGAUAACCGCAUCAGGUCUUCUAGGUAAGUAGCCUAUGGCCAUUGAGGCAUGAUAGUUCAGGGAAUUCGGCCAAUUAGAGCUGUAACUUCGGGAUAAAGCUUGGCUCUGAUGAAAAUCAGAACCGAUUGUUACGCGGAGAGCCCAACUGUUUAAUAAAAACGUAGUGUCGCGCUGUGGUAGUAUAGCCAGUGAACGCGACAUGAAUCCUGCUCAGUGCUGUGUCUGUUAAUAUGGUUCAAGCCAACGAAGCACCGGUAAAUAGCUGGGGUAACUAUGACUCUUAUCAAAGUAGCGAAAUACCUCGUCACUUAAUUAGUGACCUGCAUGAACGGAGCUAUGAGGUUCUCACUGUCCCAAACUGUCUCUCAGCGAACCAACUGUAGUGGGAACGGUCACUAGAUAUCCAGCGGGGAAAGAAGACCCUGUAGAGCUUCACUUUGGUCUAGUCUUGUAUAGUUCCUGCGGGGGUGUAGACUAGGUGGGAGAGCAAUCGAUUCUGAAAAACCACUACCCUGUUUGGAAUUAUGCUUACCUAUCACAAGGAAUAGGACUAGAUAGAAAGUUUGGCUGGGGCGGCACACCUUCGAAAGAGCAGCGAAGGUGUCCUAAGUUGAGCUCAGUGAGGACAGAAAUCUCACGUUGAGGAUAAGGCCAAAAGCUCAAUUUACUGUGCCUUUUUGUACUAGGAUCAGUUACGAAAGUAAGGCCUAACGAUCCCUAAAUAGCCUCAGGUGCGUGAGGAUUGUGGUGACAGACAAGUUACCUCCGGGACAACUGGAUUGUGGCUGCUAAGAGAUCAAAUCAACGCAGCUUUUUGAUUCUUCGAUGUCGGCUCUUCCUAUCCUAGUGAUGUACAAGUUG
Molecule: non-coding RNA, 924 nt
Filed under: Trichomonas vaginalis G3
Lineage: Eukaryota; Parabasalia; Trichomonadida; Trichomonadidae
Description: Eukaryotic large subunit ribosomal RNA
Rfam family: Eukaryotic large subunit ribosomal RNA
Source: Rfam by way of RNAcentral